Molecule: long non-coding RNA, 285 nt
Filed under: Capra hircus (goat)
Lineage: Eukaryota; Metazoa; Chordata; Mammalia; Artiodactyla; Bovidae
Description: lncRNA (ENSCHIG00000004580.1)
Source: RNAcentral
GCCAUUUAGAUCAGUGCAGUAACAGCUUUCAAUAAUCAAAUUCUACUUUGCAGUCCUGUUCCCUUAAGAUUCUUGUCAUAGGAAGAAAGCUGAUGUUUACUAAGCCUGAAGAAUCAUGGAACCUGAAAGUGGAUUUAAAUAGUCUAGUGUGAUGAUUCAUCAGAUGGCACAACUCAGGAGUUUAUAGAUGAUACAGUUGUGAGGAAGAACUGGAUCACCAUUUUGCAGAUGCAGAAGUCUAAGCAAGGAACUGGAACAAUUUGCUCUAGGCUGGUGACAAAUCCU